This 1475-nucleotide ribosomal RNA is filed under the name Candidatus Pelagibacter sp. Its description in RNAcentral is "bacterial SSU rRNA". It matches the Rfam family "Bacterial small subunit ribosomal RNA". Lineage: Bacteria; Pseudomonadati; Pseudomonadota; Alphaproteobacteria; Candidatus Pelagibacterales; Candidatus Pelagibacteraceae. The record is from RNAcentral.
AAACUUGAGAGUUUGAUCAUGGCUCAGAACGUACGCUGGCGGCACGCCUAACACAUGCAAGUCGAACGAAGUAGCAAUACUUAGUGGCAGACGGGUGAGUAACAUGUAGGUAUCUGCCCUUUGGCCUGGAAUAACACGAGGAAACUUGUGCUAAUACCGGAUAAGUCUUUACGGAGAAAGCUUUAUGCACCAUUGGAUGAGCCUGCACUUGAUUAGUUUGUUGGUGGGGUAAUGGCCUACCAAGACUGUGAUCAAUAGCUGAUUUGAGAGGAUGAUCAGCCACAUUGGGACUGAGACACGGCCCAAACUCCUACGGGAGGCAGCAGUGGGGAAUCUUGCACAAUGGAGGAAACUCUGAUGCAGCGAUGCCGCGUGAGUGAAGAAGGCCCUUGGGUUGUAAAGCUCUUUCGUCGGGGAAGAAAAUGACUGUACCCGAAUAAGAAGGUCCGGCUAACUUCGUGCCAGCAGCCGCGGUAAUACGAAGGGACCUAGCGUAGUUCGGAAUUACUGGGCUUAAAGAGUUCGUAGGUGGUUGAAAUAGUUGGUGGUGAAAUCCCAGAGCUUAACUCUGGAACUGCCAUCAAAACUUUUCAGCUAGAGUAUGAUAGAGGAAAGCAGAAUUUCUAGUGUAGAGGUGAAAUUCGUAGAUAUUAGAAAGAAUACCAAUUGCGAAGGCAGCUUUCUGGAUCAUUACUGACACUGAGGAACGAAAGCAUGGGUAGCGAAGAGGAUUAGAUACCCUCGUAGUCCAUGCCGUAAACGAUGUGUGUUAGACGUUGGAAAUUUAUUUUCAGUGUCGCAGGGAAACCGAUAAACACACCGCCUGGGGAGUACGACCGCAAGGUUAAAACUCAAAUGAAUUGACGGGGACCCGCACAAGUAGUGGAGCAUGUGGUUUAAUUCGAAGAUACGCGCAGAACCUUACCAACACUUGACAUGUUCGUCGCGACUCUAAGAGAUUAGAGUUUUCGGUUCGGCCGGACGAAACACAGGUGCUGCAUGGCUGUCGUCAGCUCGUGUCGUGAGAUGUUGGGUUAAGUCCCGCAACGAGCGCAACCCUCACUUUUAGUUGCCAUCAUUAAGUUGGGCACUCUGAAAGAACUGCCAGUGAUAAGCUGGAGGAAGGUGGGGAUGACGUCAAGUCCUCAUGGCCCUUACGUGUUGGGCUACACACGUGCUACAAUGGUAUCUACAACAGGAAGCAAGACUGCGAAGUUAAGCAAAUCCCUAAAAGAUACCUCAGUUCGGAUUGCACUCUGCAACUCGAGUGCAUGAAGCUGGAAUUACUAGUAAUCGUGGAUCAGCGUGCCACGGUGAAUGCGUUCCCGGGUCUUGUACACACCGCCCGUCACACCAUGGGAGUUGGUUCUACCUUAAGGCAAGGUUUCAAACCCUUGACCACGGUAUAGUCAGCGACUGGGGUGAAGUCGUAACAAGGUAGCCGUAGGGGAACCUGCGGCUGGAUUACCUCCUUU